GACGAACGCUGGCGGCGUGCUUAACACAUGCAAGUCGAACGGAAAGGCCCUGCUUUUGUGGGGUGCUCGAGUGGCGAACGGGUGAGUAACACGUGAGUAACCUGCCCUUGACUUUGGGAUAACUUCAGGAAACUGGGGCUAAUACCGGAUAGGAGCUCCUGCUGCAUGGUGGGGGUUGGAAAGUUUCGGCGGUUGGGGAUGGACUCGCGGCUUAUCAGCUUGUUGGUGGGGUAGUGGCUUACCAAGGCUUUGACGGGUAGCCGGCCUGAGAGGGUGACCGGCCACAUGGGGACUGGGAUACGGCCCGGACUCCUCCGGGGGGCAGCGGUGGGGAGAUUUGAACAUUGGGCGAAAGCCUGUGGCAGCAACGCCGCGUGCGGGAUGACGGCCUUCGGGUUGUAACCCGCUUUCGCCUGUGACGAAGCGUGAGUGACGGUAAUGGGUAAAGAAGCACCGGCUAACUACGU
Molecule: ribosomal RNA, 467 nt
Filed under: uncultured bacterium
Lineage: Bacteria
Description: partial 16S ribosomal RNA
Rfam family: Bacterial small subunit ribosomal RNA
Source: RNAcentral